AACGAACGUUGGCGGCGUGGAUUAGGCAUGCAAGUCGCGCGAAUGCCCGCAAGGGUGGAAGCGGCGUAAGGGGCAGUAAGGCAUGGGUAACCUACCCUCGGGAUCGGGAUAGCCCGUAGAGAUACGGGGUAAUACCGGGCGACAUCGCGUGGUGGCAUCAUCAUGCGAUCAGAGGUCCGCCGCCCGGGGAGGGGCCCCUGUGGUAUUAGCUAGUUGGUGGGGUAACGGCCCACCAAGGCGAAGAUGCCUAGCGGGUGUGAGAGCACGACCCGCGCCACUGGCACUGGGACACUGGCCAGACACCUACGGGUGGCUGCAGUCGAGGAUCUUCGGCAAUGGGGGCAACCCUGACCGAGCGACGCCGCGUGGGCGACGAAGGCCUUCGGGUUGUAAAGCCCUGUCGAGGGGGAGAAAACCGUAAGGGUGAUCUAUCCCUGGAGGAAGCACGGGCUAAGUUCGUGCCAGCCGCCGCGGUAA
RNAcentral lists this ribosomal RNA (477 nucleotides) under uncultured bacterium. RNAcentral describes it as "partial 16S ribosomal RNA". It matches the Rfam family "Bacterial small subunit ribosomal RNA", at positions 28 to 523 of the family's 1533-position model. The record is from RNAcentral.